AUUCCUAACACGCCGAGGUAAUUCAUUGAAAAACACACCCACGUACUGAGGUACCAAAAACUACAGAGGUACUUUUUCCCGUUACCUCGGAACGAGUACCUCGCCAAACGCUUGUAAAUACCAUAUCCCACAUUUUCGGCUCGUUUCCACGGGUACCUCGAAAUAACGUUGUAGUACUUGUUUGUGUGUCAGAGUGUGACCCCACACACUUGACGUUCAUCUUGGAUAUUUGGUUGGUUUCUGUGGUUCCAGUCUUGAAAAGCGGGAAUAGAAUAGCACCAACAGGGAACCAUCGUACCAAAAGCCGACAAACUCCUCACAGCAGUUACUUCCCUUAGGCAUGCGCCCGGUCAUUAAUCCGAGUGGUGUAGGUUCCAGCUGGUGUCAUUGGAUUAUUUUAUAGAAUAAGAAAAUGAGGACAACGCCCAAGAAUGGCAAGAAGAAAGUGGUUUAUAAGAAAAAGGUCGAACACAUGUCGAGGUCAUGCCCCAUAUGUAGCCUGCAAGGUAUCACGACGCUGUAUGCGAGGGUCAGCGACUAUAUCUGGCGCAAGCACAAGCUGUCGGCCGAGCAGGCGAAGCAGCUUUCGUCCGAGCAAAGGGCCGCCACUUGCAGAUGAACGAACAGCGAACGCCGGUAUUACCAGUGCUCAGCACCUGCGCCAGACAGAUAUCAAGGACAGAGGCUCCCUGGACUAGUGCUCAGGAAGAGCGAAAUCAAGAAGAGUGAUGCAGAAACGGAAGGUGCCUGCCUCCGCCGCAGCGUACAGGUCAGCAACCGCAUCCGGGUCCGCUGCCGGUUAUGGUUCGGCCAACCCACAGCCGCCACCACGCCCAGAAGAGAGCUCUUCAGAGGGUGAGCAGACACUGGACACCUUCCUCACCCGGGACUGCUGUCUCAGCCUCGGCCCGCAUUCUCGCGUCAUGCUUUGUCGUUAAAGCUUUUCGAUUGUGGAAGAAUUCAUCAUGCAUGCGGCCACGCGCUGUGGGUGGAAGUGCAAUGUGGCGAAGCGCCUGGAGUCCAAAUGAAGCUGAACCGCUUCCUGGCCCUGAGCGGGUACACUGAGGGGGCCAUGUUUGCAGACGUGCUGGUGUGAGGAGGACACAUGGAGGUCCACGACAACUACCUAACCAAGGCCCACCAGCCAGGAACAGUUCGAUCCGCCCUGACAGUGUUUGAGCCUUCUUGAAGUGGGCCGGGGACAAAAAGCAUGCACCAGCACCAACGGUGGAGGAAGCCGAUCGCACUAUCCAGGGCUGCCUGUCAGCCACCCGCGUCGCUCUGCCCCGGCCGCCGCCCCGAAGCAGCAACCACAGCGUGAGGAAACGAUGUACAAUGAAACAGAUGGGCACGAUUUCACGCAUCAUAGCGACGACGACACGAAUGUCCCUCUGCCGUCGGUCGUCGGUCGCCGCCCCGGAACCUGACCAUGACACUGACACUCAGGCCCUAGACUUGGAGACCGGCCUGACGGAUUCCCUGGGGGAAAUCAAGGAUGCCCAGUGUGAGUCAUCAUCAUCCUCAUCGAUACCGAUCCGUGUUGUGUCCAGGAAGAGGCUGCGACAGGUGUCCUCCAGUGACGAGGAGGACCCAUACACUACGAAAUAUUGUGAAAAAUCUCAAGUUACAAAAGUCUCACUGAGUUGCUUUUCCGUGAGCUCACAUUACCCGUGUCGGCUGACAAAACUGGUUUUUGUACCCAGGAAAUUGUUGUAUAUAUAUUUUUUUAUGUUCUCGUUGUAUUUAUGUAUUUCUAUGCCAAGUAGUCGUUUUACCCUGGAACGUGACUUUAUUAUGUUGUACAUAUGUUGUUUAAUUAAUAUACUUUGUAAGUACUGGUACUACUGGUUCUACUAACCCUACCCAGGUAAAUUACUUGAUUUAUUGUUAUAUAUAAUCAACAUAUACGCAUGAAUAAUUAGUACUGGUUCUGCCCAGGGUUUUUUGUCUGAAACUAUUAAAAUAAUACACACAUCAGUGUAUUAAUAUUACAGA
Molecule: long non-coding RNA, 1995 nt
Organism: Dreissena polymorpha
Lineage: Eukaryota; Metazoa; Mollusca; Bivalvia; Myida; Dreissenidae
Exons: 8
Source: RefSeq, a predicted model, not a curated record